ACAAUAAUGAAUUUGAUUCUGGUUCAGAUUGAACGUUAUUAAAAUAUAUAUGAUAUGCAAAUUUAACUUUUUUAAAGUAGUGAAGUUGGGAGUAAUGAAAAAGAAAGUGAUCCUAAAUUUGGUUUAAAAACCUAUUGUAAAAAUUAACUUUGUUUAGUAAAACGCUUUUUUAAGAUUAGAUUUAGUAAGCCUAAAAUUUAUUAUUUCAAAGAUCUUUAACAAUUUUUAACGAAAACUUUGUCCCGUUGGCUUUGAAAUAACAGCUAAAUUUUUAAAAAUCGCAGUCAAGAAUAUUGAACAAUUAAGGAAACUUAGAUUCAGUAAUUUUAAAUGAAAAACUUUUUAUAAAAGUUAGUAACUUUACUUUAAAUUUCGAAAACUUAAACAAAUAAUGAUUGUUUAAGCAAAAAUUCUGACAAAUUUUCGUGCCAGAUGUCUCGGUAAAACGUAUAGAAUAAACGUUAAUCAAAAAUACUUGGCGUAAAAUGCUAAAAGAUUGCGAUUUAAUUAAAAAAAAGAACCAAUUGAUAAUAUUGUUAUAUUUUUUUACGAAUUAAUCGCUAGAGUUAUUGUUAAGAAAAUGGAAUAAACUUAGUAAAGAUAAAAUUUUUUUAUAAAGUUUGGAACAUCAAAUGCUAAAGCAAUUUUCUAACAAUUGAAAUGUAACUAUCGUUACUAAUAACUGACUUUUUUAAUUGCUAAAGUUUGGGUAGCAAAAGGAAUUAGAGACUCCUGUAGUUCAAACCUUCACCGAUGAAAUUUUUUUUUUUAACGAAAAAUAGUUAACACAAAAUUUUCUGCCUGAACAGUACGGUCGCAAGGCUGAAAUUUAAAGAAUUAGAUGAGAAAAAAUAUAAUUCGUGGAUUAUGUUACUUAAUUCGAAACAACGCGCGAAUCUUACCAAUGUUUGCAUAAAAAUAAGUUUUACACUAUUUAGUGUUUAGAAAAUCCUUUUUUCAUAUUUUUCAUUUUUACAAAUGUUGCAUGGUUGUCGUCAGUUCGUGUUGCAAAAUGUACGAUUAAUUUCGUAAACGAGCGAAACUUAUUUUUUUAAUUAUUACACAGUUUGAAUUUAAAAUUCUUGUUCUAAAAAAUUAAAAAAAUCACUUAUUGAAAAUAAGAUGAAAAAGUAAAUGACGUCUAAAUCUUUAUGACUUUUAUGCGUUGGGCUGUAAAUGUAAUACAAUAAAAAUUACAAAAAGAAGUUAUUUUUGUAAAAAUUAACAAACCUUUAAAAGUUUUUCCAGUCCGGAUUAAAUUUUGAAACUUAAAUUUAUGAAGUAGGAAUGAAUAGUAAUGAUUUUUAAGCAUUAAAAUCGUGAAUUAAAAUAAAUUUUUUUUUUACUUAUCGCCCAUCAUCUCAUGAAAGAGAAUUUAGCUAAAAUUUUAUUAAUUUAUAUUUUUCAAUUUUAUAAACAAAUUAAAUUUAUUUUGAUUUUUAUAUAAAAUGCUAAAUGUAAAUUAUUUAGAAAAAGGUAAGGUUCUUAAUUGUGAGCAAGUUGUAACAAAGUAGCCGUUGAUGAAUCAGUGGCUGGAAUUAGAAAAAAA
This 1549-nucleotide non-coding RNA is filed under the name Gephyrocapsa muellerae. RNAcentral's name for it is "small subunit ribosomal RNA". It matches the Rfam family "Bacterial small subunit ribosomal RNA". Lineage: Eukaryota; Haptophyta; Isochrysidales; Noelaerhabdaceae. The record is from RNAcentral.